RNAcentral lists this long non-coding RNA (231 nucleotides) under Cicer arietinum (chickpea). RNAcentral's name for it is "long non-coding RNA (CARI_LNC001262)". The record is from RNAcentral. Lineage: Eukaryota; Viridiplantae; Streptophyta; Magnoliopsida; Fabales; Fabaceae.
UUUAUUCCUCUAGUAGAUCAAACACUUCAUCUUAUGUGUUUUGUCUUGAAGAACAAUCAUCUACAAUCACUAAAGAUUCCUCUAGAACAAGAGAGUAUCUAAAGAAUAUAUCAAGGAUAAGAAUCAAGAUUUUAUGGUGCUAAAAAAGACAAGAAUACAUAAUCAAUUUUGAGUUUAAGCCAGCUGUCCAAAUAGUAUAACAUCGUACAAGUCAUGUGCAACAUUCUCUGC